GUUCAGAAGCUUCUGAAGUCACAGAAGUUUUCAGUAAGUGUGCAGAAUAUGGUAAGAGAAAGUGGUGUGUAAAAGGAAAGUGUUACUACCUACCAGUAAAUAAUGAUAGGAGAUUAGUGACUGCAGUGCAAGUAGGGUGUAAUUACUGGCCUGUAAAAAUUGUGCUAAACUUCCACGAUCCAUGUAUACGUUUUGUGUAUGGGUAAGUGUAACGAAGGUAUAUGGCUCUUCUGAGACUUGAUUUUCUUGGCAGCAUAGUUUGCAAUAGAAAUAAAAGUCACACAGCCUUUUUUGACAGAGAAUAAUGUAUGUGUUGUUUUAUGCCGGCAGCUCAGUUGCUCUACUGUGGUAUUCAUGAUGCUCUUUUAAUUGUUGUAUAACUGUUCCAGUUGAACAAAAUAUUAAGACCUAUUGGCUUUGGAGUUGGGAAGGAUUAUUCAUUUAAGGGAAUUUACCUGUUCACAUUCUUCAGGCCAUCCCAGCAAAGUACUUUUCCCUAAGGAAAUGAUGGGUACACAUGGAGAGCUGUGUUGGUAUGGCUAUGUGAUAUAAAUCUGAAGAAUCUUGAUAGAAUUUAUAUCCUGCAUCAUCUACAACUGAAGGUUUUGCAGAAGGUGGUACGCAGAACCAACACAGUUCAAAGGAAGGAAAAGGAGGUAGGUAUGCUACAAGAAAUGUAUAGGGCCAGGAUUCUUUUAAUCAGGAUUCACUACUGGCUGUCUGUCCUGUGACUUUUCAUAUACAUUGUCAGUAAAUUAGCAGGUCAGACAGGUUCUGCCUGAAAAGAAUACACAGACCAAGAAUUCUUUUAUUUUUAAUUACUGGAGUGGAUGAAAGCAAGGUGUGGUCUUUGGCCCAGCACAGAGAGUCAGGAAUUGACUAGCUUCUGUGCCUCCAGGUAAAUCUCAUCUUCCUGCCUUGAUUUCUCCAGCUGUGAUAUAGGUGUGAUAUUUGCCUUAGGAGGAAACUGAAUAUAUUCCUGUUUGCUGGGUUCCUUAGAGACAGAAAUUGUUACUCACAUAACAUUUCAGAAAAUUAAGCAUUUUUAAUAAGCGUUUUAAUAAGAACGCUGAUCACACGGCUUCGGGUUGGGUGAGCUGAGUUCUCCUCUUUGUGGAAAAUAACUGGAAAACUUCCUCUUCGGAUGUCUGCUGCAAGUAUUUCCAUAUGAUAAUUUCUUCAGUUUUGUGUUACGAGGUUCCUGUAUAUCUGACUUCAUAGAAAGCUUGAGAUAGUGAACUUGUCCCGCAGCAGAUGAUACCUAAAAGAUGGAGGGCACUUGAUGAAUAACACACAUAAAAAAAAAAGUUUAAAAGCAGCGCAGAUGAAUAAAUUCUCUUCCAAGUUUUGUGCUCCA
This 1357-nucleotide long non-coding RNA is filed under the name Coturnix japonica (Japanese quail). Its description in RNAcentral is "lncRNA (ENSCJPG00005012863.1)". Lineage: Eukaryota; Metazoa; Chordata; Aves; Galliformes; Phasianidae. The record is from RNAcentral.